GACGUAGGGCGCAAGCGUUGUCCGGAUUUACUGGGCGUAAAGCGCACGUAGGCGGGUUGUUAAGUCAGGGGUGAAAUCCUGGAGCUCAACUCCAGAACUGCCUUUGAUACUGGCAACCUAGAGGCUGGAAGAGGUUAGUGGAAUUCCCAGUGUAGAGGUGAAAUUCGUAGAUAUUGGGGAAGAACACCAGUGGCGAAGGCGGCGACCUGGGCCAAUAUUGACGCUGAGGUGCGAAAGCGUGGGGAGCAAACAGG
RNAcentral lists this ribosomal RNA (254 nucleotides) under uncultured bacterium. Its description in RNAcentral is "partial 16S ribosomal RNA". It matches the Rfam family "Bacterial small subunit ribosomal RNA", at positions 524 to 776 of the family's 1533-position model. The record is from RNAcentral.